GUGGGGAAUAUUGCACAAUGGGGGAAACCCUGAUGCAGCAACGCCGCGUGAGUGAUGAAGGCCUUCGGGUUGUAAAGCUCUGUCUUUGGGGACGAUAAUGACGGUACCCAAGGAGGAAGCCACGGCUAACUACGUGCCAGCAGCCGCGGUAAUACGUAGGUGGCAAGCGUUGUCCGGAUUUACUGGGCGUAAAGGGAGCGUAGGUGGAUAUUUCAGUGGGAUGUGAAAUCCCCGGGCUUAACCUGGGGGCUGCAUUCCAAACUGGAUGUCUAGAGUGCAGGAGAGGAGAGUGGAAUUCCUAGUGUAGCGGUGAAAUGCGUAGAGAUUAGGAAGAACACCAGUGGCGAAGGCGACUCUCUGGACUGUAACUGACACUGAGGCUCGAAAGCGUGGGGAGCAAACAGGAUUAGAAACCCGGGUAGUCC
Molecule: ribosomal RNA, 425 nt
Filed under: uncultured bacterium
Lineage: Bacteria
Description: partial 16S ribosomal RNA
Rfam family: Bacterial small subunit ribosomal RNA
Source: RNAcentral